RNAcentral lists this non-coding RNA (148 nucleotides) under Pan paniscus (pygmy chimpanzee). RNAcentral also lists the same sequence under 1 other name. The record is from Rfam by way of RNAcentral. Lineage: Eukaryota; Metazoa; Chordata; Mammalia; Primates; Hominidae.
GCCGGGCGUGGUGGCGGGUGCCUGUAAUCCCAGCUACUCAGGAGGCUGAGGCAGGAAAAUUGCUUGAACCCAGGAGGUGGAGGUUGCAGUGAGCCAAGAUCAUGCCACUGCAGUCCAGCCUGGGUGACAGAGCAAGAUUCCGUCUCAU